This 497-nucleotide ribosomal RNA is filed under the name uncultured bacterium. RNAcentral's name for it is "partial 16S ribosomal RNA". It matches the Rfam family "Bacterial small subunit ribosomal RNA", at positions 28 to 507 of the family's 1533-position model. The record is from RNAcentral.
GAUGAACGCUGGCGGCGUGCCUAAUACAUGCAAGUAGAACGCUGAAGCUUGGUGCUUGCACCGAGCGGAUGAGUUGCGCACGGGUGAGUAACGCGUAGGUAACCUGCCUCUUAGCGGGGGAUAACUAUUGGAAACGAUAGCUAAUACCGCAUAAAAGUCGACAUCGCAUGAUGUUGACUUGAAAGGUGCAAUUGCAUCACUAAGAGAUGGACCUGCGUUGUAUUAGCUAGUUGGUGAGGUAACGGCUCACCAAGGCGACGAUACAUAGCCGACCUGAGAGGGUGAUCGGCCACACUGGGACUGAGACACGGCCCAGACUCCUACGGGAGGCAGCAGUAGGGAAUCUUCGGCGAUGGGGGCAACCCUGAACGAGCAACGCCGCGUGAGUGAAGAAGGGUUUCGGAUCGUAAAGCUCUGUUGUAAGAGAAGAACGAGUGUGAGAGUGGAAAGUUCACAAUGUGACGGUAACUUACCAGAAAGGGACGGCUAACUACGUG